This 429-nucleotide ribosomal RNA is filed under the name uncultured bacterium. Its description in RNAcentral is "bacterial SSU rRNA". It matches the Rfam family "Bacterial small subunit ribosomal RNA", at positions 355 to 776 of the family's 1533-position model. The record is from RNAcentral.
UGGGGAAUUUUGGACAAUGGGCGAAAGCCUGAUCCAGCAAUGCCGCGUGCAGGAUGAAGGCCUUCGGGUUGUAAACUGCUUUUGUACGGAACGAAAAGGCACUCUCUAAUACAGGGUGUUGAUGACGGUACCGUAAGAAUAAGCACCGGCUAACUACGUGCCAGCAGCCGCGGUAAUACGUAGGGUGCGAGCGUUAAUCGGAAUUACUGGGCGUAAAGCGUGCGCAGGCGGUUAUGUAAGACAGUUGUGAAAUCCCCGGGCUCAACCUGGGAACUGCAUCUGUGACUGCAUAGCUAGAGUACGGUAGAGGGGGAUGGAAUUCCGCGUGUAGCAGUGAAAUGCGUAGAUAUGCGGAGGAACACCGAUGGCGAAGGCAGUCCCCUGGACCUGUACUGACGCUCAUGCACGAAAGCGUGGGGAGCAAACAGG